GACGAACGCUGGCGGCGUGCUUAACACAUGCAACUCGAACGGAAAGGCCCUGCUUUUGUGGGGUGCUCGAGUGGCGAACGGGUGAGUAACACGUGAGUAACCUGCCCUUGACUUUGGGAUAACUUCAGGAAACUGGGGCUAAUACCGGAUAGGAGCUCCUGCUGCAUGGUGGGGGUUGGAAAGUUUCGGCGGUUGGGGAUGGACUCGCGGCUUAUCAGCUUGUUGGUGGGGUAGUGGCUUAACAAGGCUUUGACGGGUAGCCGGCCUGAGAGGGUGACCGGCCACAUUGGGACUGAAAUACGGCCCAGACUCCUACGGGAGGCAGCAGUGGGGAAUACUGCACAAUGGGCGGAAGCCUGAUGCAGCAACGCCGCGUGCGGGAUGACGGCCUUCGGGUUGUAAACCGCUUUCGCCUGUGACGAAGCGUGAGUGACGGUAAUGGGUAAAGAAGCACCGGCUAACUACGUG
Molecule: ribosomal RNA, 468 nt
Filed under: uncultured bacterium
Lineage: Bacteria
Description: partial 16S ribosomal RNA
Rfam family: Bacterial small subunit ribosomal RNA
Source: RNAcentral